CCAAAACUUAGCUGCUCCAGUUCAGGCUGGUUGCACGCUUCAACCCUUUGUGAACCAAAAACCUUUACGCUUCGGCAGCUGGUUCCAGCUGCAAGCCUGCCGAUGGCACCCAUUUAAACCUGUCGUUAAAUAUUUGUCUGAACUAAAUAUUUUCGAAUGAAAAUUA
Molecule: unclassified non-coding RNA, 166 nt
Filed under: soil metagenome
Description: partial internal transcribed spacer 1
Source: RNAcentral